UUAAGCGACUAAGCGUACACGGUGGAUGCCCUGGCAGUCAGAGGCGAUGAAGGACGUGCUAAUCUGCGAAAAGCGUCGGUAAGGUGAUAUGAACCGUUAUAACCGGCGAUGUCCGAAUGGGGAAACCCAGUGUGAUUCGUCACACUAUCGUUAACUGAAUACAUAGGUUAACGAGGCGAACCGGGGGAACUGAAACAUCUAAGUACCCCGAGGAAAAGAAAUCAACCGAGAUUCCCCCAGUAGCGGCGAGCGAACGGGGAGCAGCCCAGAGUCUGAAUCAGCUUGUGUGUUAGUGGAACGGUCUGGAAAGUCCGACGGUACAGGGUGAUAGUCCCGUACACCAAAAUGCACAGGUUGUGAACUCGAAGAGUAGGGCGGGACACGUGGUAUCCUGUCUGAAUAUGGGGGGACCAUCCUCCAAGGCUAAAUACUCCUGACUGACCGAUAGUGAACCAGUACCGUGAGGGAAAGGCGAAAAGAACCCCGGCGAGGGGAGUGAAAAAGAACCUGAAACCGUGUACGUACAAGCAGUGGGAGCACCUUCGGGUGUGACUGCGUACCUUUUGUAUAAUGGGUCAGCGACUUAUAUUCUGUAGCAAGGUUAACCGUAUAGGGGAGCCGCAGGGAAACCGAGUCUUAACUGGGCGUUAAGUUGCAGGGUAUAGACCCGAAACCCGGUGAUCUAGCCAUGGGCAGGUUGAAGGUUGGGUAACACUAACUGGAGGACCGAACCGACUAAUGUUGAAAAAUUAGCGGAUGACUUGUGGCUGGGGGUGAAAGGCCAAUCAAACCGGGAGAUAGCUGGUUCUCCCCGAAAGCUAUUUAGGUAGCGCCUCGUGAACUCAUCUUCGGGGGUAGAGCACUGUUUCGGCUAGGGGGUCAUCCCGACUUACCAACCCGAUGCAAACUACGAAUACCGAAGAAUGUUAUCACGGGAGACACACGGCGGGUGCUAACGUCCGUCGUGAAGAGGGAAACAACCCAGACCGCCAGCUAAGGUCCCAAAGUCAUGGUUAAGUGGGAAACGAUGUGGGAAGGCACAGACAGCCAGGAUGUUGGCUUAGAAGCAGCCAUCAUUUAAAGAAAGCGUAAUAGCUCACUGGUCGAGUCGGCCUGCGCGGAAGAUGUAACGGGGCUAAACCAUGCACCGAAGCUGCGGCAGCGACACUAUGUGUUGUUGGGUAGGGGAGCGUUCUGUAAGCCUGCGAAGGUGACCUGUGAGGGUUGCUGGAGGUAUCAGAAGUGCGAAUGCUGACAUAAGUAACGAUAAAGCGGGUGAAAAGCCCGCUCGCCGGAAGACCAAGGGUUCCUGUCCAACGUUAAUCGGGGCAGGGUGAGUCGACCCCUAAGGCGAGGCCGAAAGGCGUAGUCGAUGGGAAACAGGUUAAUAUUCCUGUACUUGGUGUUACUGCGAAGGGGGGACGGAGAAGGCUAUGUUAGCCGGGCGACGGUUGUCCCGGUUUAAGCAUGUAGGCUGAUUGUCCAGGCAAAUCCGGAUAAUCAAGGCUGAGGUGUGAUGACGAGGCACUACGGUGCUGAAGUAACAAAUGCCCUGCUUCCAGGAAAAGCCUCUAAGCAUCAGGUAACAUCAAAUCGUACCCCAAACCGACACAGGUGGUCAGGUAGAGAAUACCAAGGCGCUUGAGAGAACUCGGGUGAAGGAACUAGGCAAAAUGGUGCCGUAACUUCGGGAGAAGGCACGCUGGUGUGUAGGUGAAGUCCCUGCGGAUGGAGCUGAGACCAGUCGAAGAUACCAGCUGGCUGCAACUGUUUAUUAAAAACACAGCACUGUGCAAACACGAAAGUGGACGUAUACGGUGUGACGCCUGCCCGGUGCCGGAAGGUUAAUUGAUGGGGUUAUCCGUAAGGAGAAGCUCUUGAUCGAAGCCCCGGUAAACGGCGGCCGUAACUAUAACGGUCCUAAGGUAGCGAAAUUCCUUGUCGGGUAAGUUCCGACCUGCACGAAUGGCGUAAUGAUGGCCAGGCUGUCUCCACCCGAGACUCAGUGAAAUUGAACUCGCUGUGAAGAUGCAGUGUACCCGCGGCAAGACGGAAAGACCCCGUGAACCUUUACUAUAGCUUGACACUGAACAUUGAGCCUUGAUGUGUAGGAUAGGUGGGAGGCUUUGAAGCGUGGACGCCAGUCUGCGUGGAGCCAACCUUGAAAUACCACCCUUUAAUGUUUGAUGUUCUAACGUUGGCCCCUUACCGGGGUUGCGGACAGUGUCUGGUGGGUAGUUUGACUGGGGCGGUCUCCUCCCAAAGCGUAACGGAGGAGCACGAAGGUUAGCUAAUCCUGGUCGGACAUCAGGAGGUUAGUGCAAUGGCAUAAGCUAGCUUGACUGCGAGCGUGACGGCGCGAGCAGGUGCGAAAGCAGGUCAUAGUGAUCCGGUGGUUCUGAAUGGAAGGGCCAUCGCUCAACGGAUAAAAGGUACUCCGGGGAUAACAGGCUGAUACCGCCCAAGAGUUCAUAUCGACGGCGGUGUUUGGCACCUCGAUGUCGGCUCAUCACAUCCUGGGGCUGAAGUAGGUCCCAAGGGUAUGGCUGUUCGCCAUUUAAAGUGGUACGCGAGCUGGGUUUAGAACGUCGUGAGACAGUUCGGUCCCUAUCUGCCGUGGGCGCUGGAGAAUUGAGGGGGCUGCUCCUAGUACGAGAGGACCGGAGUGGACGCAUCACUGGUGUUCGGGUUGUCAUGCCAAUGGCACUGCCCGGUAGCUAAAUGCGGAAGAGAUAAGUGCUGAAAGCAUCUAAGCACGAAACUUGCCCCGAGAUGAGUUCUCCCUGAGACUUUAAGUCUCCUGAAGGAACGUUGAAGACGACGACGUUGAUAGGCCGGGUGUGUAAGCGCAGCGAUGCGUUGAGCUAACCGGUACUAAUGAACCGUGAGGCUUAACCUU
Molecule: ribosomal RNA, 2899 nt
Filed under: Klebsiella pneumoniae
Lineage: Bacteria; Pseudomonadati; Pseudomonadota; Gammaproteobacteria; Enterobacterales; Enterobacteriaceae
Description: bacterial LSU rRNA
Rfam family: Bacterial large subunit ribosomal RNA
Source: RNAcentral